UUGGUGUCCUCACCCCUCUUGCCUUGAAAACGCCUGUGAAAAUGAUAUCUGAUGGCCAGCGGUGACUUGGCAGCAGCCAUUAUUUUUCUUCUUUUAUUGGAAUGUUUGCUGAGAAAUGCAGGAUGGUCUAGAGUAAUUUUUAAUGUAUGUGUUUAAUAUAAAUAGAUUUUAAAAAAAGGAAACAAAACAAUGAAAGCCACUAAAGAGUAACUCCUUGUCAUAUUAUGGCCUCAAAUGUAACCAAAUACUUGCUCCACUUUGUAGAAAAGCCAAUGAAAUUAAAUAAGCAUAAACAAAUAUUAUGGAAGAAAGCAGAGGACCCUCAGCCAAACUAUCAUCACUGUAAGAACUUAAAGAGCACAGUUGCUUGUCUCAAACACUGUCAAGGCCACAGAAAAGACUAGCUUAAAGAUAAGCUCCACAGCAAGGACUCGAGGGAAGCACAGAAGGGAGGAAUUUGCCCCAAGAAGAUGCUUAUUCCAGGCCUGGUGGAGGCAAGAUCUGCUGAGCACAUCCUGGUCAACAUAUCCAGACAAAAAUUCUUACUGUGGCAAACUGUGGGAGAGGAAGCAAUUGCUCAUGCACAUGCUGCCCCAAGUUAUGGGAACAUCUGUGACCACCCCAUGGAUACCCAGAACUUGGACUGUAUAAAGGUGGUACCCCCAGAAGAACGACCACAGAACCCCAUCACCAAGAAGCCCAGGGUAAAGAAGGACAAACAUGACAACUUUGGA
Long non-coding RNA from Passer domesticus (house sparrow), 734 nucleotides. RefSeq lists it as uncharacterized. Lineage: Eukaryota; Metazoa; Chordata; Aves; Passeriformes; Passeridae. The transcript is spliced from 3 exons. The record is from RefSeq and is a predicted model, not a curated record.